Molecule: long non-coding RNA, 631 nt
Organism: Canis lupus familiaris (dog)
Lineage: Eukaryota; Metazoa; Chordata; Mammalia; Carnivora; Canidae
Exons: 5
Source: RefSeq, a predicted model, not a curated record
GAAGAGGGAGAAGCAGGCUCCAUGCACCGGGAGCCCGACGUGGGAUUUGAUCCCGGAUCUCCAGGAUCGCGCCCUGGGCCAAAGGCAGGCGCCAAACCGCUGCGCCACCCAGGGAUCCCACUUGAGCACUUUUUAUGAUUCAUUGACAACUGUUGCCUUUCCAGGGUUUCAGUUAUCCACUGGCAGCUGAAGCCCAGAAGAAGAUGAUCCUCCUUCUGACAUAUCCUUGGGUCAGGAGUAGCUUAAUGCAAUGUCACAAUACCUGCAUCCUUUACCUCACUUCAUCCUGUCAUGUAGGCAUUUGAGCAUCUCACAUCAUCACAAGAAGAUUCCUUGGCCAACAAGCUUUCAAUGAGUAAACUUGUUUUGGAGACACUAUUUCCCAUACCCGCCAAUCAGAAUAUUCUUUCAACAAAACACAAGAAUGGGAUUUUAAAGUGGGUUGCUAUCUUGUUUUCAAACCUGAAGGAUCUCUUGCUCCUUGACCCACUGUGAAAAAAAGAGAUUGAAAGGUCCCAGAUAUUCAUAUGUCAAGUUCCUGCUUCAAGGACUGAAGCUGUCAAAAAGAAGCUUGGGCAAUCUACAUGAAACCCAACAGAACUGAGGAAACUUGAAAUGAACAUUAUCAAGC